CGAACCGACUAAUGUUGAAAAAUUAGCGGAUGACCUGUGGCUGGGGGUGAAAGGCCAAUCAAACCGGGAGAUAGCUGGUUCUCCCCGAAAGCUAUUUAGGUAGCGCCUCGUGAAUUCAUCUCCGGGGGUAGAGCACUGUUUCGGCUAGGGGGCCAUCCCGGCUUACCAACCCGAUGCAAACUGCGAAUACCGGAGAAUGUUAUCACGGGAGACACACGGCGGGUGCUAACGUCCGUCGUGAAGAGGGAAACAACCCAGACCGCCAGCUAAGGUCCCAAAGUCAUGGUUAAGUGGGAAACGAUGUGGGAAGGCCCAGACAGCCAGGAUGUUGGCUUAGAAGCAGCCAUCAUUUAAAGAAAGCGUAAUAGCUCACUGGUCGAGUCGGCCUGCGCGGAAGAUGUAACGGGGCUAAACCAUGCACCGAAGCUGCGGCAGCGAACGUAUCACCCAAGACAACUUUACGGAGUUGACGAUUGACGGAGCGAAGCGACGUCAAAGCGUUCAUUAAAGUCGAGUUGGCUUAGGGAUACGUUCGUUGGGUAGGGGAGCGUUCUGUAAGCCUGUGAAGGUGUGUCGUGAGGCAUGCUGGAGGUAUCAGAAGUGCGAAUGCUGACAUAAGUAACGAUAAAGCGGGUGAAAAGCCCGCUCGCCGGAAGACCAAGGGUUCCUGUCCAACGUUAAUCGGGGCAGGGUGAGUCGACCCCUAAGGCGAGGCCGAAAGGCGUAGUCGAUGGGAAACGGGUUAAUAUUCCCGUACUUGGUGUUACUGCGAAGGGGGGACGGAGAAGGCUAUGUUGGCCGGGCGACGGUUGUCCCGGUUUAAGCGUGUAGGUGUGUGUUCCAGGUAAAUCCGGUUCACUUUAACACUGAGGCGUGACGACGAGGCACUACGGUGCUGAAGCAACAAAUGCCCUGCUUCCAGGAAAA
This 927-nucleotide ribosomal RNA is filed under the name Salmonella enterica subsp. enterica serovar Typhimurium. RNAcentral describes it as "partial 23S ribosomal RNA". It matches the Rfam family "Bacterial large subunit ribosomal RNA", at positions 775 to 1616 of the family's 2925-position model. The record is from RNAcentral. Lineage: Bacteria; Pseudomonadati; Pseudomonadota; Gammaproteobacteria; Enterobacterales; Enterobacteriaceae.